Pelobates cultripes (western spadefoot toad) is the source of this 254-nucleotide non-coding RNA. NCBI's taxonomy places the organism in Eukaryota, Metazoa, Chordata, Amphibia, Anura, Pelobatidae. The record is from the annotation of a GenBank genome assembly.
UGGUAGAUUCUCUUAUUGGAUGGUUCCAGGAAAUGACUAAUGAACUGGUUUAAAUGUUAUUUUAUUUAAAAUUACAUAAGAAUAGAUCUUAACUACUUAGGAGAUCUAGCCAGCAUUGAAAAGGUUAUUCUAACUGUUAGCAAGGGUUUUAUGGCCCUUCGCUGUGAAAUGUUUCACUUUAAGUCUGUGUCAAGGAUACCUCAUAAAUCGUCAAAAGUCUUGACAGGAAAUGCUAUUUAGCCAUUGAAAUCUGU